RNAcentral lists this ribosomal RNA (425 nucleotides) under uncultured bacterium. Its description in RNAcentral is "bacterial SSU rRNA". It matches the Rfam family "Bacterial small subunit ribosomal RNA", at positions 357 to 773 of the family's 1533-position model. The record is from RNAcentral.
GGGAAUUGUUCGCAAUGGGCGCAAGCCUGACGACGCAACGCCGCGUGGAGGACGAAGAUCUUCGGGUCGUAAACUCCUUUCGAUCGGGAAGAACGGCUUCCGGGUGAACAAUCCGGAAGAGUGACGGUACCGAGAGAAGAAGCCCCGGCUAACUCUGUGCAAGCAGCCGCGGUAAUACAGGGGGGGCAAGCGUUGUUCGGAAUUACUGGGCGUAAAGGGCUCGUAGGCGGCCAACUAAGUCCGACGUGAAAUCCCCAGGCUUAACCUGGGAACUGCGUCGGAUACUGGAUGGCUUGAAUUCGGGAGAGGGAUGCAGAAUUCCAGGUGUAGCGGUGAAAUGCGUAGAUAUCUGGAGGAAUACCGGUGGCGAAGGCGGCAUCCUGGACCGAGAUUGACACUAAAGCGCGAAAGCCAGGGGAGCAAAC